RNAcentral lists this ribosomal RNA (497 nucleotides) under uncultured bacterium. RNAcentral's name for it is "partial 16S ribosomal RNA". It matches the Rfam family "Bacterial small subunit ribosomal RNA", at positions 28 to 507 of the family's 1533-position model. The record is from RNAcentral.
GAUGAACGCUGGCGGCGUGCCUAAUACAUGCAAGUCGAGCGAACAGACGAGGAGCUUGCUCCUCUGACGUUAGCGGCGGACGGGUGAGUAACACGUGGAUAACCUACCUAUCCUACUGGGAUAACUUCGCGAAACCGGAGCUAAUACCUGCUAAUAUAUUGACCCUCAUGGUUCCCUAGUGAAAGACGGUUUUGCUGUCACUUAUAGAUGGAUCCGCGCCGCAUUAGCUAGUUGGUAAGGUAACGGCUUACCAAGGCAACGCUGCGUAGCCGACCUGAGAGGGUGAGCGGCCACACUGGAACUGAGACACGGCCCAGACCACUACGGGAGGCAGCAGUAGGGAAUCGUACGCAAUGGGAGGAAGCUUGACGUAGCAACGCCGCGUGGGGGAUGAAGGUCUUGGGAUCUGAGAACUCUGUUAUUAGGGAAGAACAAAUGAGUAAGUAACUAGGCACGUCUUGACGGUACCGAAUCAGAAAGCCACGGCUAACUACGUG